UGGCUCAGUUGGUAGAGCAUGGUGUGUGCAACACCAGCGUUGUGGGUUCAAGUCCCAC
Non-coding RNA from Salmo salar (Atlantic salmon), 58 nucleotides. The record is from Rfam. NCBI's taxonomy places the organism in Eukaryota, Metazoa, Chordata, Actinopteri, Salmoniformes, Salmonidae.